Molecule: ribosomal RNA, 284 nt
Filed under: uncultured bacterium
Lineage: Bacteria
Description: partial 16S ribosomal RNA
Rfam family: Bacterial small subunit ribosomal RNA
Source: RNAcentral
CAGGCCUAACACAUGCAAGUCGAACGGUGUCUAGCAAUAGGCAUAGUGGCGCACGGGUGCGUAACACGUAACUAACCAACCCACCAUUGGGGGAUAGCCCGCCGAAAGGCGGAUUAAUACCGCAUAACACUUUAACUCGGCAUUCGGGUGAUAAGUUAAAGAUUUAUUGAUGGUGGAUGGGGUUGCAGGACAUUAGCGAGUUGGUUGGUGAACGGCUGACCAAGGCGACGAUGACAAGGGGAGCUGAGAGGCUGGACCCCCACACGGGCACUGAGAAACGGGCC